CAGCGUCACGAGUGGCAUCCAUUUUUAUUGGGUCUAAAGUGUCCGUAGCUGGAUUUGAAAGUCUUCUGUGAAAUCGUUGGGCUUAACCUAACGCAUUGCAGGAGAAACUUCAGAUCUUGAGACCGGGAGGGGCUAGAGGUAUUCUUAGGGUAGCGGUAAAAUGCGAUAAUCCUGGGAGGACCACCUGUGGCGAAGGCGUCUAGCUAGAACGGGUCUGACAGUGAGGGACGAAGGCUAGGGGAGCGAUCCGGAUUAGAUACCCGAGUAGUCC
This 271-nucleotide ribosomal RNA is filed under the name uncultured archaeon. RNAcentral describes it as "partial 16S ribosomal RNA". It matches the Rfam family "Archaeal small subunit ribosomal RNA", at positions 477 to 747 of the family's 1478-position model. The record is from RNAcentral.